Molecule: ribosomal RNA, 1694 nt
Filed under: Campylobacter jejuni
Lineage: Bacteria; Pseudomonadati; Campylobacterota; Epsilonproteobacteria; Campylobacterales; Campylobacteraceae
Description: partial 23S ribosomal RNA
Rfam family: Bacterial large subunit ribosomal RNA
Source: RNAcentral
UCGAAGGUAUACCGGUAAGGAGUGCUGGAGCGAAUAGAAGUGAGCAUGCAGGCAUGAGUAGCGAUAAUUAAUGUGAGAAUCAUUAACGCCGUAAACCCAAGGUUUCCUACGCGAUGCUCGUCAUCGUAGGGUUAGUCGGGUCCUAAGUCGAGUCCGAAAGGGGUAGACGAUGGCAAAUUGGUUAAUAUUCCAAUACCAACAUUAGUGUGCGAUGGAAGGACGCUUAGGGCUAAGGGGGCUAGCGGAUGGAAGUGCUAGUCUAAGGUCGUAGGAGGUUAUACAGGCAAAUCCGUAUAACAAUACUCCGAGAACUGAAAGGCUUUUUGAAGUCUUCGGAUGGAUAGAAGAACCCCUGAUGCCGUCGAGCCAAGAAAAGUUUCUAAGUUUAGCUAAUGUUGCCCGUACCGUAAACCGACACAGGUGGGUGGGAUGAGUAUUCUAAGGCGCGUGGAAGAACUCUCUUUAAGGAACUCUGCAAAAUAGCACCGUAUCUUCGGUAUAAGGUGUGGUUAGCUUUGUAUUAGGAUUUACUCCGAAAGCAAGGAAACUUACAACAAAGAGUCCCUCCCGACUGUUUACCAAAAACACAGCACUCUGCUAACUCGUAAGAGGAUGUAUAGGGUGUGACGCCUGCCCGGUGCUCGAAGGUUAAUUGAUGGGGUUAGCAUUAGCGAAGCUCUUGAUCGAAGCCCGAGUAAACGGCGGCCGUAACUAUAACGGUCCUAAGGUAGCGAAAUUCCUUGUCGGUUAAAUACCGACCUGCAUGAAUGGCGUAACGAGAUGGGAGCUGUCUCAAAGAGGGAUCCAGUGAAAUUGUAGUGGAGGUGAAAAUUCCUCCUACCCGCGGCAAGACGGAAAGACCCCGUGGACCUUUACUACAGCUUGACACUGCUACUUGGAUAAGAAUGUGCAGGAUAGGUGGGAGGCUUUGAGUAUAUGACGCCAGUUGUAUAUGAGCCAUUGUUGAGAUACCACUCUUUCUUAUUUGGGUAGCUAACCAGCUUGAGUUAUCCUCAAGUGGGACAAUGUCUGGUGGGUAGUUUGACUGGGGCGGUCGCCUCCCAAAUAAUAACGGAGGCUUACAAAGGUUGGCUCAGAACGGUUGGAAAUCGUUCGUAGAGUAUAAAGGUAUAAGCCAGCUUAACUGCAAGACAUACAAGUCAAGCAGAGACGAAAGUCGGUCUUAGUGAUCCGGUGGUUCUGUGUGGAAGGGCCAUCGCUCAAAGGAUAAAAGGUACCCCGGGGAUAACAGGCUGAUCUCCCCCAAGAGCUCACAUCGACGGGGAGGUUUGGCACCUCGAUGUCGGCUCAUCGCAUCCUGGGGCUGGAGCAGGUCCCAAGGGUAUGGCUGUUCGCCAUUUAAAGCGGUACGCGAGCUGGGUUCAGAACGUCGUGAGACAGUUCGGUCCCUAUCUGCCGUGGGCGUAAGAAGAUUGAAGAGAUUUGACCCUAGUACGAGAGGACCGGGUUGAACAAACCACUGGUGUAGCUGUUGUUCUGCCAAGAGCAUCGCAGCGUAGCUAAGUUUGGAAAGGAUAAACGCUGAAAGCAUCUAAGCGUGAAGCCAACUCUAAGAUGAAUCUUCUCUAAGCUCUCUAGAAGACUACUAGUUUGAUAGGCUGGGUGUGUAAUGGAUGAAAGUCCUUUAGCUGACCAGUACUAAUAGAGCGUUUGGCUUAUCUUUAAUAAAGCAU